This 152-nucleotide non-coding RNA is filed under the name Xanthomonas citri pv. citri. RNAcentral describes it as "ncRNA with ncRNA_class of other". It matches the Rfam family "radC RNA". The record is from RNAcentral. RNAcentral also lists the same sequence under 1 other name. Lineage: Bacteria; Pseudomonadati; Pseudomonadota; Gammaproteobacteria; Lysobacterales; Lysobacteraceae.
AUCCUGCGGCGCAGGCAGCGGGGACGUUUGCGUCUCCACUUCCCAGCACAGCCGCGGUCUUCGAGGCUGUGGCGCGGGCCACCGCGUCGAUCGCUCCCGUCCGCACCGCAUCCGACACCGCGGACGCCCAGCGCCCAGGCGCUGGAGGAUGC